RNAcentral lists this ribosomal RNA (317 nucleotides) under Podarcis peloponnesiacus (Peloponnese wall lizard). RNAcentral's name for it is "partial large subunit ribosomal RNA". It matches the Rfam family "Bacterial large subunit ribosomal RNA", at positions 2024 to 2541 of the family's 2925-position model. The record is from RNAcentral. Lineage: Eukaryota; Metazoa; Chordata; Lepidosauria; Squamata; Lacertidae.
ACGGACUAGCCAAUGAAAUUGAUCCUCCAGUACAAAAGCUGGAAUUAGCCCAUAAGACGAGAAGACCCUGUGGAGCUUCAAAACCAAAAAUCACCAAACAUGCUUCAUGGGUUUUUAGUUGGGGCGACUUUGGAGCAAAAAAAACCCUCCAAACAUAAAUCUAUUUAUUAAGACUAACACACCAAAAAAAUAUUAUAGACCCAGCAGUAUCUAUUUACUGUCUGACCAAUGAACCAAGUUACCCCAGGGAUAACAGCGCCAUCCUCUUCUAGAGUCCUUAUCGACAAGAGGGUUUACGACCUCGAUGUUGGAUCAGG